This 21-nucleotide non-coding RNA is filed under the name Caenorhabditis elegans. The record is from RNAcentral. Lineage: Eukaryota; Metazoa; Nematoda; Chromadorea; Rhabditida; Rhabditidae.
UGUUUUGGCAAUUUUUUGUUC